Molecule: long non-coding RNA, 587 nt
Filed under: Fukomys damarensis (Damara mole-rat)
Lineage: Eukaryota; Metazoa; Chordata; Mammalia; Rodentia; Bathyergidae
Description: lncRNA (ENSFDAG00000024124.1)
Source: RNAcentral
GUAAGGAUUUGCAGGUAAUUUUUUGAGAUGUUCUGAAACUUGUCCCUAAACUGAAGCAGAGAUGUAAGGAGGUUCCCAAAUGUCUUUCAAAGAACCCAAGAAGUGGUUCUAAGGCCCUUGCUUUUGUGUAGAGUCUGAAGCAUACCUUGAUUGAAGACUGCUGUACGCAUAAAUCUCAUUGUCUCAUAAACCUCAUUAUACACCUGGACAUUGUGUUGCAGAAAUGUUUCAUUGCAGACCUACAGUUUUCGGUCUAGAGCCCGUGACCCCAAAACCCAUUAGGAAAGGCAGGACAGUAAGAAGUUUCAGUAAAAACAAAACAUGGCAGAACGACACAACUCCAAUGUUGCAGUUCACCUCGGUGUCUCAAGUUGUGUGGAUCCAGUAUUUCUGGUAAGUGGAAAGCUGUUUUCCUCACAAGGAUGAGUGCAUGCAUUCUGGAAGGUGGUAGUGCCUCUUAUGGGGCAGACAGUCCCAAUUUACAGUGGUUCUUAGGAGACCAAAAAGCUUACUUUUUUUUUAUGCUGACAAUAAAAGUACACAUGGGUAUACAGUAUCUUGUGUAGUAAGAUGUAAUGAGGGGUAGC